AAAUGGAGAGACAUGUACGUGUGUAGUUGGCCGCCAGGAAGCUGAGUUCAAAACUGUGACCAGAGCAGCCACAGUGGGGCACUGUGGGAUGCCCCCUGGAGGCUACUAAAUUUGACAAAAGUACUGCGUCACCCUAACUAUGUCAACCUAAGCAUUAUACCUCUUGUGCAGGUGGAGUUAAGUCAGCAUAGCGGGUGACUUACAUCGGCGGGAACAACAUUUUAGUGUAGGUGCUUAGAGUUAGGUUGACAUAAGCUGCCUUGCAUCAACCUAACUCUGUAGUGUAGACCAGGCCACAGA
Non-coding RNA from Chelonoidis abingdonii (Abingdon island giant tortoise), 300 nucleotides. Lineage: Eukaryota; Metazoa; Chordata; Testudines; Testudinidae. The record is from RefSeq and is a predicted model, not a curated record.